GAGAGAGAGAUAGACGGCGGUGCGGCAGAGUUGCGUCAGCGCUGCGGAGGAGGGAGCGAGCCGUUGACAUCGCCCAUCCGGGCCGCAGCAGAGAACCAGGGGGUCUCCGCUAGCCUAAGGUGAAGCUAGGCGUCGCCUCCCGCCGUCUUGGACGUGGAUCUCGGGUCUGCCACGGCUUCUCGGAGCCACCCAGCGCAGGCAGCUCGGAUGAUCCAUCAAAAUAAACAGCCGGAGGGGAAAGAGCUGGAGUCGUGGACCUUACUCCAGCCUAGUCCAGCCCCGAGCCCGCGGAAGCAGCAGAGGAAGAUGCUGAUGUCGCUGCCCACGCUGACAGUCCUAGUGCCUCUCAUCUCUCUGGCUGGCCUGAUCUACUCGGCCUCCGUGGAUGAGAAUUUCCCUCAUGGCUGCACCAGUACGACCAGCCUGUGCUUUUACAGUCUUCUCCUGCCGAUUAUCCUGCCGCUUUGCGUGAUCCUCUACCUCUGGACCUGGACACAGAAUUAAUGCAAUCCGAGCCUCCCACCCCCAUCCCACCCCACCUCCCCGAGAGCAUUUACAUAGCAGGGCCUGUUGUCUACAUUUAAACAAGAAAACGAUCUCUUAUUUCAUUCCACUUAACUCUUAAUAGACUGGAAUGAUCUCUUUUUCAUUCUUCUAGGGAACUAAGGUUUUCAUCCCUCUCAGAUUCAGGAGUAAGGAUCGUUCAAACGCGCUCAUUUUCAUCCUGCCUUCUUGUUCCCGAGCUGGGGGUGGGGGGCGAUGGGGGGUGGGGGCGGGGAGUCCCGACUUACUCUUUUCUUUAAAAUAUUCACCUGUACCUUGAUCUGUGGAAGUGCUUGAUUUUUAGUUCUGAUUAUACUCCACUUAAAGUUAAAUAGAUUUGCCAAAAGGUUUUUUGAUUAUUUUCGUUCCUAGGCCUUUGCAAUGGAAGAAAAUUAUAAAGAUAAAUCUUUUCAAAGACCCUAUACCAAAUAAUUUACUCGUUUAAAUAGUUUCAGAUGAAUUUAUUUGGAUUAGCAUUCAUGCAAAAUCUUACAAUAAAAUGGAAACUGAUGUGUGUAGAAGAAAAAAAAAAACAGAGGAGGCGGGAGAAAUUAGAGGUGAUGUACCCUGGCACAAGGCAGACCUGAAAUUCAAUUAAAACAGGAUGUUCCUAAAAGUAGAAGCAUUCCAAAUUCACCUCAGUUUUGAUUCCCAAAGAGCAGGAAUAUCAAACUUGUGAUUUUUCACCAUACACUAAAAGGUUUGCCAGAGAUUAGAAUCUCCAGUAUGGGCCCUAAGAAAAGCCUUGUAGAGGAGCCUUGUUUUAGGAAAGCCUUGUAAAGAGUUGACAGAAAUUUGAGACCUCAUUGAGAACAGGAAAGCUGAUAGGCCUGUAAAGAUGUGACGUUCCUUUGGAGGAAUGCUUAUUUCUUCCCCAAGAACUUAGUGCUUAGAUUUCUAACCAUUUCUAAGCUUGAUGUUGAAGAUUCGUUUCUUAUGGAUGUUUAAAAGUAGCUGGAAUAAUUUUUUGAACUUUGAAAUUGAGCUAUUUUAAGUACAGAUUUGUAUUAGGCUUAAUAAAUUAAUUAGGGAAAAUUGUUAUUUACAGCAUGGCUGAUCUGUGCUCUGAACAGACACUAUUGGAGCCAGAGUUUUGUAGUUCAUUCUGAGAGUUAAAGUGAGAAUGGCUCAGUCUGGCUUGUCUCUGAAUGCCACAAGGAUAAAAGGCAAAAUUGUGAAAGUAUUGGAAAAAUCAUUUGGAGAUGCAUUCAACUGGAUCAGUGCUUUGGGGAUAAGUUUUGUUUUGUGUUUUAUGCUCUAAGUUCAUAAUAUUGUUUUAUGUUAGUGUUGUGCUGUUGUGUUUCUUGCAUUGUGAUUUGAUUCUUUGCAUUGUCAUUAGAUUACGUAGAAGCACUGUUGGUUUGUGGAAUGGUUUCCAGGGUGUGAUACAUUUGUAUCCUUAGGAGGUUUGCUCAUCUCUUCAUCACAAUGCUUGAUUUUAUGACUUUAAGCUAUCACUUAUUAGCAAGUCCUGUCUAGAAGGCAGAUUGCUCUUCUGGUUAAAAAUGGUCUUAAAUGUAUCUUCUGGGUUGUCAAAGUUAAAAUGCUACCUUGGGAAGACUCACUGUGAGAAGUUCUAUCUACUGGCCAGCCCCUCUGAAUCUUCUGUCUUGGUAAGGUUAUAAAAGCUCAUCAGCUCUGUUACCAAAGAGGAUGCAGGAAGGGUUUUGUAAAUCCUACCCUGACACUAAAGCUCAGAGAGGAACCAACUCUCUCCACCAAACCAUACACUAGGCACACCUCUCCACCUCUCUCUCUCUCUCUCUCUCUCUCUCUCUCUCCCCCACUUCCUCCCCCCCCCACAUACACUCUAAUGGGGGGAUUACUUAAAUGUUGGCUUGUAAUGUGGUGAAUUGUCUGAGUAUUGAUUAUUAUGUAAUGUAUGGAAAAUCACCAGAUAAAAUUGUUACUUAAUUGGUAUAUAUCAGUGUUACAUCUUUGAGUCCACUUUGGAUCAACAGACCCAAGUUUCAAGGAUUUUCCUUUUACCAUAGGGGUUGAUAAUCAGUGCAUCCAGGCUAACUGUAACCAGGGUCUUUUUGGGUUUGAGUACAUUCACUUUAUGAGUAAAAUCCCCAAAUGUGAUUAUUUUCUAAAUUUCUAAUUAUCUUUUUUUGCAUCAAAAUGUAUUAAACUAGAGGGAACCUAGAAAAGUUUUGGAAAAAAAACUUUGUAUGUGCUUAAUAAGCACUAAGGAUAAAUGUUUUUAUUGUUGUUUAUUGUGAACUUACUGAUAUUGCUAUCAGCUUGAAGAACAACUGUGUCCUGCCCUAAGCUAUAAGCAAUAGAAUUUACUAUAUGAGAUGAAACCUCUGAGGAUGAUAAUUUGAUUUCCUCCAAUCUGGAUAUAACUGUUUGAGUGAUUGUUAAGCUAGUAAUCCACCAUCCAAGGAAAAUGCCAAGAGCUGCUCAAAAGGAGUGUGAUCUCCAUGUGUUGCAGGUGGAUGUAAAUUGUUGGGAAAGUUGAGAGGACAGCCUUAUAAAAGUAAUGGUAGGACCUUCUUGACUCAGUUUCCCCACUAUGCUAUUUCCUCUCUGAGCAGGAAAGUUUCCCAGCUGUUAGAAUAUGAAUCCAGCUAUCAGACCCUUUGAAGAGUGUGGGAGUUUAAUGCACAAUUGGCUGUUCCCAAAAGGUAUUUUUUACUUUUACCUGAAAUCAAGCAAAACUUGUCCUCUUGCCCUCAUUAUCAAUCUAUCAAUCUGUGACUUUAGACUGACCCCGAUGGGACAGUCUUGAUGUUGUUUCCAUCUUAUCCCUCCUUCUGCUUUCAUAGUAAAUUUCUCUAACCAUGGCAAAAGAACUGCAAAGGUUUUAUAAUGAAUCUCAUUGUUCCAAUCAUCAGACUUCUCCGAGUAGAUGUAAAAGACCCUAUUGCUUGUCUAUGCUGUUCUGACUGUGGAUAUCACUUGUCUCACCUUCCUGACCUAGACCAUUAUCUCACUGGUUUAAUAGUUGUAUAUUUAUGCAUAAGAUUAUGUUUUUAGAGACUCACUUUCUUUCUGUCCAAGUGACCCUUCCCUUUCCCAUUCAUUACCUGAAGCUAAGAUAUGAGGUUGCAAUAUAAUCUCCAAAGGGGGAGAAGUGAUGAAAGACAUAUAAAGGCUAGAAUUCUUAAUGGAGUAGUAAACAUUACCCUGAGGAAGGCAGCAUGAUUAGACUAUUUCCGCUGAGGACUGGGACAUACGUGAUUGGUUUCCAAUGUCUCCCAAUGGGUGUUAAAUAUACCAAAAGAGUUCAUCUUAGAUGCAAUUGUACUCGAAGCUUUAGAGCUUCUGCUCUGUUAUGCCGGUGAAAACAAUGGCAAAAGACUAAAUGAAGACAGUGGUCCUAAAACGAUAUAUUUUAUAUUUGACUCUGGAGGUAAGAACAAGACUGAAAAAGGUGGAGCCUAGAAUUGAACCUUCUCCAGAAGGACCUUCUGGAGGUCCAGUAUUUGAACAGCCCCAGAUGGAUUUCAUGCAAAUGCCUAAAACCAAGAGUAUAUGUUUAGUAAUUGUCCAUAAAUUCUCAAGUUGGAUUGAGGCUUUCAUUUGGAAAAAUUUCCUAGCAGUUGUUUUAAAUAAACUGUCCAUUGCUAGUUUUUCCUGUUUGGGGGACAUACUUUACAGGUCUGGUCCUCAAUGAUCUUUUUAAAAUGCUUCCUCCAACCUUAUAAACAUUGUUGUCGAUAUCGUCUAAAAGUCUUGGGAAAGGUAGAAAGAGCAAAUGGUAUGUGAAAAUUAAAACACAAAUGAAUUGCAGGUAUGCUGGGUCUGAUGUUCUUCCUAUAGCCUUGAUAAUUAUAAGGUUAAUACCAUAAGGUUUGCACAGGCUUUCACCUCAUGGACUAACUACAGGAAGACAAUGUGAUUAAGUUUGGUCAGACCUUACUAAUUAUAUUAAGUCAUAUCACUAGCAGGUAUGAGCAGCAUUACCCAGGAAACCAUCAUGGAAGACAUUGCCUAUUGAAGCCAGGAAAAUGAAUCUUCUGGAAGAAAUACCUCUUCAAAUCUGCUCUGGAAACAAGGUAGAAAGGUCCGUCCCAGGAACUGUUACCAAUUGAUGCUGAAAUUGAAAAGUUCAAGGUGUUAAUUCAUGGAUAUAUGUCUCUCAGGAUCAAAAUGAACCCCUUGUGGACAGUGGUCCAAGACAGAACCUUUUGACUGAGAAUUAGCAGGGGAAAAGAAGCAGACUAUUUCACAAAGUAAAGGAUUGUAUUGUAUAACUGGA
Long non-coding RNA from Trichosurus vulpecula (common brushtail), 4753 nucleotides. RefSeq lists it as uncharacterized. The record is from RefSeq and is a predicted model, not a curated record. The transcript has 2 exons. Lineage: Eukaryota; Metazoa; Chordata; Mammalia; Diprotodontia; Phalangeridae.